GUGUAAGUCAAUGUUUUUUUUAUUUCAUAUUUCAUAAAUAUAAUAUUAUUAAUCAUUUCAAGAGCAACUUCAAAAAAAUUUCAAGUUCAAAUCUCUAAGACAGAAGUACGAAAUUUCGAUUUUUAUAAAUCAUUUGUAACACAAGCUCAAUCAGGAGACAUGGAGGAUCAGAUAGAAGUACGAAAUUCCGAUUUAAAACAAGAUGAAGUGGCUAUAGCCAUGGUUCCAUUUCCAGGACAAGGCCAUCUUAAUCAACUUCUUCAACUUGCUUGUUUAAUCACCUCAUCAUAUGAUGAUCUUCCAGUCUAUUAUGUUGGCUCAGCUACACAUAAUCUUCAAGCUCGUGUUCGAGCCAACGCGUUAAAUCCUUCAGACAUAGCCAAAAUUCAUUUCCAUGAAAUCCCAACACCUGAUUAUACCUCUCCUGCACCUGAUCCUAAUGCAUUGAGCAAUUUCCAUCACAUCUUGAGCCAUCAUGGGAUGCUUGUAUGCUUCUUCGCGAGCCUAUUGCUUCCUUCUUACGCGAUAUUUCCUCAAAAUCAAGACGAGUCGUUGUUGUUCAUGAUUCUUUAAUGUCCUAUAACGUUCAGGACGUUUCAUCCUUGCACAACGCGGAAUCCUAUAUAUUUAAUUGCAUUUCUGUGUUCACUUUCUACUGUAUUAUAUGUCUGUCUGUUGGAAUGUCUGUUCAACUUGAAGAGGAAUUGCUUAAAAAGUUACCUUCCCUUGAUGGAAUUAUGACGGAUAAAAUCAGAGAUCGCGGAGCUUCUCAGAGUCCAUAUUUAGAUAUUAGAUCAGGUGAUAUACAUAAUACAAGCAAAGUGAUUGAAGGUAAGUUUCUUGAUUUGUUAGCACAAGUAGCAAGUGAUCAGAACAAGAAAAAUUGGGCAAUUGGACCACUUUUGCCUACUAAAAUAGAUCGUAUCUCGAAUAGGGAGGAUAUAUGUUUGGAUUGGCUUAACAAACAACCUCCAAGAUCAGUACUUUAUGUGUCUUUUGGAACAACAACUUCAUUUUCUGAUAGGGAAAUCAAGGAGCUCGCGAUGGGAUUAGAGCAGAGCAAACAGAGGUUUAUAUGGGUGUUGAGGGACGCGGAUAGAGGAGAUAUCUUUACUGAGGAAGCUAGGAGAGUUGAGUUGCCUGAAGGGUUUGAGGAAAGAGUAAAAGGGGUCGGGUUAGUGGUAAGAGAAUGGGCACCACAACCAGAAAUCUUGGCUCAUUCGUCUACAGGCGGGUUCAUGAGUCAUUGUGGAUGGAAUUCUUGUAUAGAGAGUAUAACUAUGGGGGUGCCUAUAGCUGCUUGGCCUAUGCACUCUGAUCAACCAAUGACUGGUUUCUUGGUGACGGACGUGUUAAAAAUAGGCCUGAUUGUGAGGGAGUGGGAGAAACGCGAGGAGCUGGUGAAUGCAUCCACUAUUGAGGACGUCGUGAGGAAGUUGAUGGCAUCAGAAGAAGGCAAUGUGAUUAGAAAAAAGAGCAGAAGAAUUGGGAGAAGCUGUAAGACAGUCCACAGAGAAAGGGGGAGCUUCUCGAAUAGAGUUGGAUUCUUUCAUCGCGCAUAUCACAAGAUAGACUUCAUCUUCUAGCUCUCAACAACUAAUGAAUAUUGAUUCAGAAAAACAAAGAACAUUGCUGGUUACUUGUUUAUGUUAUCAUUUCGAUCGCGUUUACUAUUUUACAUCGUGGCAAGAGAGAUAGUUCUUCUAUUUGUAUAAUGUCUUGCUGUAGCCAUUUUCAGUGUGAUUCUGUUGGUCUCUCGAUAAAGAAAAUGACUUACGCGAUGAUAAUAACUAUUAGUACUUUA
Molecule: RNA transcript, 1804 nt
Organism: Solanum pennellii
Lineage: Eukaryota; Viridiplantae; Streptophyta; Magnoliopsida; Solanales; Solanaceae
Gene name: zeatin O-xylosyltransferase-like
Exons: 1
Source: RefSeq, a predicted model, not a curated record